Molecule: long non-coding RNA, 431 nt
Filed under: Mytilus galloprovincialis (Mediterranean mussel)
Lineage: Eukaryota; Metazoa; Mollusca; Bivalvia; Mytilida; Mytilidae
Source: RNAcentral
ACAAAAAAAGAAUGAAACAGAAAGCAUGUAUUCAAUUAAAGUUUCCUUAUAUCAACAGAUGCUUCCUGGGAAAAGUAAAUUCUCAUCUGUCAAGAUGUUGACACAACCUUUUCUGUGUAUGUUUAUCUUACAUUAUUUAUUGGUGCACUACUGUUUGUGUUAACUAUGUAAAUUGUAUAACUUGUUCAUAAUUGUAACAUAUUGUUGAUUGCUUUUAAUUUGUGUAAGCUUCCAUUAUGAAAGCUGUAUUUGAAAGUGCAAUAUCAAAUAAAGACCCAAUAAAAAUACAUAAAGACACUUUGUAUCUUUGUUCAUGUUUUUCCUUGUUUGUAUAGUCUUUAAGGUUUUGUAUGGAUUUAAUAUUUGGAAUGUGUGUACCCCACCUCAAUGACAGGUGGUGUAAAAAAAAAUGAAAAUAUGACUAAGUGACA